Molecule: long non-coding RNA, 493 nt
Organism: Bombus huntii
Lineage: Eukaryota; Metazoa; Arthropoda; Insecta; Hymenoptera; Apidae
Exons: 2
Source: RefSeq, a predicted model, not a curated record
GUUGCCUUCUCUGUUUCUAUAUAUACGUACUACCUGUAUAUUGAUCGUUUUUUUGCGCGAUAGUAUCGGUAGUAUCUAUACUGGUUUGGAGAGAUCGAAGUACAUUUUGCGCGCGAACAUUUUUAAGUUCGACAAACUUAGAUUCCGGACGUGACCUGUAGAGGGUGCAUUGGUCGUUAGGCACACGUAUAUGAAUUAAUGAAAUAAUUGUGUUUAUAAGUAGACUGCGAAUUUUUAUAUAUUUAUGGAAAAUUGGAAGAUGCAAAAAUUUGCGAAGUACGUGAAAUAUGAAAAAGUAUGCCUGUGAAACUUUUAAAAGAACGAUCAGGAUAAUUAAGAAGAUAAUUGCAUUUUGUGAUUUCUGGCAAUACUAUCUGCGUUUAAUUUUGUUCUCUUGUUUGAAUCGUUGGAAUAAUAAAUUAAUAGAGAACAGUGGUGUAUAAAAUGUAACAGAUACAUUCAAUUUAGACUCUAAUAAAGGAAAGGAAGAUUA